This 2771-nucleotide ribosomal RNA is filed under the name Klebsiella pneumoniae subsp. pneumoniae. Its description in RNAcentral is "bacterial LSU rRNA". It matches the Rfam family "Bacterial large subunit ribosomal RNA". The record is from RNAcentral. Lineage: Bacteria; Pseudomonadati; Pseudomonadota; Gammaproteobacteria; Enterobacterales; Enterobacteriaceae.
AGCGUACACGGUGGAUGCCCUGGCAGUCAGAGGCGAUGAAGGACGUGCUAAUCUGCGAAAAGCGUCGGUAAGGUGAUAUGAACCGUUACAGCCGGCGAUGUCCGAAUGGGGAAACCCAGUGCAAUUCGUUGCACUAUCGUUAACUGAAUACAUAGGUUAACGAGGCGAACCGGGGGAACUGAAACAUCUAAGUACCCCGAGGAAAAGAAAUCAACCGAGAUUCCCCCAGUAGCGGCGAGCGAACGGGGAGCAGCCCAGAGUCUGAAUCAGCUUGUGUGUUAGUGGAACGGUCUGGAAAGUCCGACGGUACAGGGUGAUAGUCCCGUACACCAAAAUGCACAGGCUGUGAACUCGAAGAGUAGGGCGGGACACGUGGUAUCCUGUCUGAAUAUGGGGGGACCAUCCUCCAAGGCUAAAUACUCCUGACUGACCGAUAGUGAACCAGUACCGUGAGGGAAAGGCGAAAAGAACCCCGGCGAGGGGAGUGAAAAAGAACCUGAAACCGUGUACGUACAAGCAGUGGGAGCACCUUCGGGUGUGACUGCGUACCUUUUGUAUAAUGGGUCAGCGACUUAUAUUCUGUAGCAAGGUUAACCGUAUAGGGGAGCCGCAGGGAAACCGAGUCUUAACUGGGCGUUAAGUUGCAGGGUAUAGACCCGAAACCCGGUGAUCUAGCCAUGGGCAGGUUGAAGGUUGGGUAACACUAACUGGAGGACCGAACCGACUAAUGUUGAAAAAUUAGCGGAUGACUUGUGGCUGGGGGUGAAAGGCCAAUCAAACCGGGAGAUAGCUGGUUCUCCCCGAAAGCUAUUUAGGUAGCGCCUCGUGAACUCAUCUUCGGGGGUAGAGCACUGUUUCGGCUAGGGGGUCAUCCCGACUUACCAACCCGAUGCAAACUACGAAUACCGAAGAAUGUUAUCACGGGAGACACACGGCGGGUGCUAACGUCCGUCGUGAAGAGGGAAACAACCCAGACCGCCAGCUAAGGUCCCAAAGUCAUGGUUAAGUGGGAAACGAUGUGGGAAGGCACAGACAGCCAGGAUGUUGGCUUAGAAGCAGCCAUCAUUUAAAGAAAGCGUAAUAGCUCACUGGUCGAGUCGGCCUGCGCGGAAGAUGUAACGGGGCUAAACCAUGCACCGAAGCUGCGGCAGCGACACUAUGUGUUGUUGGGUAGGGGAGCGUUCUGUAAGCCUGCGAAGGUGUGCUGUGAGGCAUGCUGGAGGUAUCAGAAGUGCGAAUGCUGACAUAAGUAACGAUAAAGCGGGUGAAAAGCCCGCUCGCCGGAAGACCAAGGGUUCCUGUCCAACGUUAAUCGGGGCAGGGUGAGUCGACCCCUAAGGCGAGGCCGAAAGGCGUAGUCGAUGGGAAACAGGUUAAUAUUCCUGUACUUGGUGUUACUGCGAAGGGGGGACGGAGAAGGCUAUGUUAGCCGGGCGACGGUUGUCCCGGUUUAAGCAUGUAGGCUGGUUGUCCAGGCAAAUCCGGAUAAUCAAGGCUGAGGUGUGAUGACGAGGCACUACGGUGCUGAAGUAACAAAUGCCCUGCUUCCAGGAAAAGCCUCUAAGCAUCAGGUAACAUUAAAUCGUACCCCAAACCGACACAGGUGGUCAGGUAGAGAAUACCAAGGCGCUUGAGAGAACUCGGGUGAAGGAACUAGGCAAAAUGGUGCCGUAACUUCGGGAGAAGGCACGCUGGUGUGUAGGUGAAGUCCCUGCGGAUGGAGCUGAGACCAGUCGAAGAUACCAGCUGGCUGCAACUGUUUAUUAAAAACACAGCACUGUGCAAACACGAAAGUGGACGUAUACGGUGUGACGCCUGCCCGGUGCCGGAAGGUUAAUUGAUGGGGUUAUCCGUAAGGAGAAGCUCUUGAUCGAAGCCCCGGUAAACGGCGGCCGUAACUAUAACGGUCCUAAGGUAGCGAAAUUCCUUGUCGGGUAAGUUCCGACCUGCACGAAUGGCGUAAUGAUGGCCAGGCUGUCUCCACCCGAGACUCAGUGAAAUUGAACUCGCUGUGAAGAUGCAGUGUACCCGCGGCAAGACGGAAAGACCCCGUGAACCUUUACUAUAGCUUGACACUGAACAUUGAGCCUUGAUGUGUAGGAUAGGUGGGAGGCUUUGAAGCGUGGACGCCAGUCUGCGUGGAGCCAACCUUGAAAUACCACCCUUUAAUGUUUGAUGUUCUAACGUUGGCCCCUUACCGGGGUUGCGGACAGUGUCUGGUGGGUAGUUUGACUGGGGCGGUCUCCUCCCAAAGCGUAACGGAGGAGCACGAAGGUUAGCUAAUCCUGGUCGGACAUCAGGAGGUUAGUGCAAUGGCAUAAGCUAGCUUGACUGCGAGCGUGACGGCGCGAGCAGGUGCGAAAGCAGGUCAUAGUGAUCCGGUGGUUCUGAAUGGAAGGGCCAUCGCUCAACGGAUAAAAGGUACUCCGGGGAUAACAGGCUGAUACCGCCCAAGAGUUCAUAUCGACGGCGGUGUUUGGCACCUCGAUGUCGGCUCAUCACAUCCUGGGGCUGAAGUAGGUCCCAAGGGUAUGGCUGUUCGCCAUUUAAAGUGGUACGCGAGCUGGGUUUAGAACGUCGUGAGACAGUUCGGUCCCUAUCUGCCGUGGGCGCUGGAGAAUUGAGGGGGGCUGCUCCUAGUACGAGAGGACCGGAGUGGACGCAUCACUGGUGUUCGGGUUGUCAUGCCAAUGGCACUGCCCGGUAGCUAAAUGCGGAAGAGAUAAGUGCUGAAAGCAUCUAAGCACGAAACUUGCCCCGAGAUGAGUUCU